ACACGAAGCAGAUGGUGGGCUGGAUGUGGCCUGGGGGCCAUGGUUUCUGGACCCCCAGUGUCGUCUAAGGCAGCCUGGCUCCAUGUGGGAGCUGCAGGAGGAGCAGCUAUGGAUGUAACGAUUGUGAUGGAUGACACCGAAGUCAAGGACAGGCGGCAGGAGAGUGUGGAUCUGGAAGCUCAGGUAAGAUGGAGCUUUUGUUACACGGCACUGGCUCUAUUAUGGCAUUUCUGACAGCCCUCUCGGUGAGAACGGAAGGCUGUCCACACUCUGCCUCACGCGGCCCCAGGCAAUCUCCGCAGUUCUCCGUGGCUCUGCCUGGGAGGUGGGUAAGGCCUGAGGUGGGCCACAGAGACCCAGAGAGAGCUCUUUGCUCGCCUGGGCAUGCUUAGAAAGUGGUUUUUGCCCUCCAAGGCAUGUUCCUUAGAAGGCACUACCCUGGCACAGAGACACCUGGGGAGCUGAAUGCACAUGGCCUGCUGUCAACAGCUCCCUCCCAGGGAGGAGGCUGCACAGAGCCAGAACGCAGUCUGCAGCAGCAAUGACCUUCAGACCCCCAGAGACAGGACAAAGACUCUGUCCCUCUCACACCCUCACCCUCUUGACUUCUCUGGCUCGUCAGCACCACUCAAUAAGGUGGUGACUGUGAUUGCCCCCAGUUUACAAAUGAGGAACGGAGGCUUGGUAGGAGGGGACACACUCGGUCCAGGACUUCAAAGACUGAGCUCCUCACCCCUGCUCUCUCCCAUAAGGGAGACCUGGGCCGAGUGGGGCAAGGAUGGAGGAAAGGUCCUAUUCCUGCUCUGCUGCCCACAAGCUGUGUGCCCUCAGUCAGGAAAGUAACCUCUCUGGGCUCCGGGUACUCCUCCCUAAGGCUUGCACGUGGUACACACUCUAUUAGUGUUAAUUCUUCCUCUUCCCUGAGGAGGAGCUGCUCACAGUCUAGAGGGAGGAGCUAAAUAUUUAAUUAAGGAAACUUACAAUGCAAUCUGAGAUGAGACUGAAUAAAGCAACGAGCAAAGUGAUCUGGUGCACCAAGGGAGGAGGGCCGAGCAAGGACUGGCUGGCCAGGUAGUGAGGCAGGAUGCCAGGCCCUCUUGGCUCUCACCUGCACCCAGGUACCCUCAGAGGCACGGCCUAGGCAUCCUUCACCAUGACAGAGAGGGGCCAAACCAGUCACCUGUGCCAGCCUUCCUGGCAGAACUUAGUCAUGAAUUAAGUCCUAGCACUCCUCACUCAGAGAACUCAGCCUGCUGCAAUAGGGAUUAAAUAUGGCCUUGGGGAAUCCCAGAUUCAAUGGCGUUUACGCAUUUAAACAGGAGGCAGUUCCCUUUAAAUGUCACCUCCUGACUAUUGCCCCAGCAGCACCCGGCAACCCCUCUACCACGAGCCUUCAGCAGCUCCCUAUCCUGGAGGAGGCUGGCAUGGUCGGCGUCGUCCUCCGUCCUGACCAUCGCAGUCGCUGCCCUAUCCUGUACCUGCCCACGCACUCCACGAAGCUGCCUGCUUUGGUGAGCAAGGCUAUGCUGCGGCACAGCCAAGCCUGCACCUCUGCCUGAGUCAUCCUCAGAGCUGAGUAGUUACAACAGGACCCCAUGGACCACAAAGCCUAAAUCGUUACCAUCUGGCCCUUUACAGAAAAAUGUUCUCAGGCCCUGUGUUACAGCUGUCUCACCUCCUUCUCCCAGUUACUGGAAGAAGCCAAUGUCAUUCUCGUUUCCCAAGUGAGGAACCCAAGGCUGUGAGGGGUGAGGCCACUCCCACCAGGGCAGGCCUGGGCACAGAACAGCGGCUCGGUGGUUAUCUGCUGAGUGAGUGGAUGAAUGAAUGAAUGAUGUGACCAAAUGCCCCUGUGCUCAGCAUGGAGUUCGAGCAUCACAGGGACCAUCCCAGUGGCCUGUGGGGGAGAAGGUGCUCUCUGCCCCUGGAGAUGGUGGCCCUGAGUAGUCAUGCACCCAUAAUUGAUAUGUUCUGAGACGGCAUCUGCCAAUGCCUCGGGCAGCCAGGACACAGCCAGGGCCAAGGCCAGCCCUGGGAGGACAGAGUGGCAGCCUGGCCACUGACUGUGAGGUGCAAAAGAGAGCAGAGAGAAUGGGGCAGGUCAGUUCCAGGCCCACAGCAAGGAGGCAUUCCAUGGUCAUUGGAGCAACAGGGCAGCCCCUAGGAUGGGGCAGUGGGCUGGGAUCUGACCUCUGAGGGGACAGACUGAGCCGCCUUGGGAGCCAGGUGCACGCCAGAGCACAGUCCUACAGAACUGCCCCCUGGGCUCGGGGGCAGCCACGGCAGUGGGAGGCUGAAUGGGGACCUUCAUCCAGAUUAAAAGCCAACUCAAUGCUGGACCUGAAAUAGUUCGGGUCGGCCAGGGGCAGGCAGGAGCUGCCAGCACCAGUCCUGCUCAGCCUGCCUGUAGGGAGCUCACCUUCCAGUGAAGGAGGCAAUACUAAGCCAAACCCAUCAGACACCACGCAUCCUGCGAAAAGAAUACCCAACCCGAGGGGGCCAGGCCGAGUGUAAACCUGGAAACCAGCUGGGCAGGGAAAGCCUCCCUGAGAUGAAAACACUGGUAUAAAGACCUGCAAAAGGUAAGGGAGCCAUGUGAGUGUUAGGGGAAGAAUGUGCCAGAUGGGCGGAGAGCACAGCCCCUGCAAAGGCCCCGGGGCAGGGAGGGAGUCCAGGAAGAGUUGAGGCUAGAGAAGUGGCAGGGCAGGUGGCCAGAGCCCCGAGCCCCCCUUGAGGACUUUGGCUUUGACUCUGAGUGAGGAGGGAGCCACGGGAAGGUGCUGAGCACAAGAGGGGCAUGGAUGCAGUUGGGUUUUAUUAGGUCCUUCUGCUGUUCAGGGAGGGAGAGGGAGGGAGGAAGUGAGGGAGUGGGGAUGAAGGACGCAGGGAGGGAGGGAGGAGGGGAGGCGAAUGAGGAGCUUGCUAAGCUCCACCCCAGGAGACACACAGAGUGAGGUAGGGCCAGUGUGUGGCUCAUAUGCCAUCAAGUCCUGCAGACCUUGCCUGAUGCCCUCAAAACUCAAAACGAGUUGGGCACAGGCCCCAGGAAGGGAUACAUCCCACCUGGUCUCUGUUAUUGGCUUCACUUUGCUGCCAAGGACCCUGAACCUCAGAGAGUGAUGAAGCUUUCCAGGGUCACACAAUGUGAUUACCAGAUAUGCCAGGAUUCAAAUCCACAACCUCACCAUCACACACCCAGGAUUCCGGACCCUCAAGGCGGAGGCAGCGUCCCCACGCCCCUGCCAAUGCAGGGGCUACUUCCCCAUCAAUCUAAUGGAGGAGGAGCCUUGGUCAUGCUCCCAGGACACAGGCUGGGGACCCAGCCCUGCCCCCAGGAGUGUCUUCCUGUGCCCUCCCUGCAUGAGAUGUGCUGAGUGCCACAGGCCCAGGGACAGGGCUGGGAUUUACGGCUCUCUAUUUUAAUAAAGACUGUUCAAAACCCUGAAAAUUAAUUUCCCCGGGGAAGACAAUUACAUGUCAAAUAAUACACCCGCUGAGCAAAUGAUUAAGAUAAAAUCCAGCCAAGAAGGCUUUGCACCGAUUGGUUUUGAGAUACUUGGCUCAACACGGAUGGCCUUAAAAGGUUAUUACCAGGCAGUAAUGAACACAGGUGUCCAGUCGAGGGGAGGGAAUUCAUUUCUAAUAUUUGUGCCCCUUCACAAUUUAUUUCAAACCUAUAAAUGGUGUCUGUGGGAAAGCUGUCUCUGACACCUUCUAAUAAAAGCACAUUAACAGCUCCAAUGAAGGCCGGUGCUGGCAGUCAGGUCUUCCCGGUUUCCACAGGGAUGGUGGCCUGUGACUAAAGGGAGGCUGGCCUGGGCCAGUGGGCAUACGACUGGGAGGCUCUUAGAUGUGGAUGUGGAGGGCUUCCUUUGGUCUUCAAGUCCAAAUGUGGCCUUGUGACUUCUGCCAUUUUAGAAAAUUUGGCCAGCAUUGCCUCUGGAAAUGAUUGGCUGAAACUUUAGGUAUCCCAGUGCCACCAGCCAGCCUUUGUCAGGUACAAGGCCAAGCAUUCUCUGCAGACCCCUGAGUUUGCACCCCCUGACUGAGCCUUCUUGUGGAAAGUGAGGCCCAGAGAGGUGAAGCAGGUUGUUCAGGAACACACUGCAAGGUGGGAAAGCAAGGAUGGAAGCCUGGCUGUGCUCCCUCCCAACCCAGAGCCCACGUUGACCUGCAGCCUCCUGUCACUGCUCAGCUGAGCCUGGUCAGACUGAUUACACACUCUAGGUUAUGACAGGAUUUAGCAUAGUGUGGAGCAGAGGUCUGCAAACCAUGGCCCUCGAGCCAAAUCUGGCCUGUGGCUUGCUUUUGCAAAUAAAGUUUUAUUGGAACACAACCACACCUGUUCCUGCAUUGGGUAUGACAGCUUUGAGAACAGCAGCCAAGGGACGCUGCCAACUCAACCUGACCUUCUGCUGUCAUAACUGGCAGGCAUGGUGUGGGCCUGCACCCUGAGCUAGCAACUGCUUCAUUCCACAGAAAAGACUUCCGUCAGGGUAUACGGGUUCGUUUGCAACUGGCUAUGAGGGCAGACAUCUUGCAGGGGCUGGGGGAGUGGCAGUGACUGCAGAGCAUCAGGGCCCAAGUCACCUUCACCUGCACCCUGGCUGCUUUAGGAAGUGGUAACGGCUGGGGGGACCCAGCUUCCUAGGGCUCACCAAGGCCCCCACCGAGCUCACCAACAUUGCUUGUGUCUCCAGAGUAGAGAAUUCAAGGACUCCAGAAUGUUAACCAAGGGAAGUCACUCUCUCCUCCCCAGCCUCAUUUUCUUCAUCUCUAACGAGGGGCACAUCCAGUGACUGCUGACGCUCUGCUCUGCAAGGUGGUCCAUGGAUCUCUAUGAGUGACUAUAGAGCUCAGAGCACUUCUUUUGAUAACAGAAAACAGAGGCCGAGAGUAGCUGUUCAUCUGUGAAGUGGGGAUGUUAACGGCACCACCCCCUUCCACACACACUGGAUUGCAAUGUGCAAAUUGAAGAGACAUCCAUGCUGUGGUGGCUAGGCAAGGCUGGCUCACGUUAAGAGCUCAAGAAAGGGCACUGAUGGGACUGUCAUUUGUGGUGUGCUUGGCCAAGGUCUCAGGGGCGGGGACCCCGCCCAUCAGACCCAAGACCAGAGAUGCUCUUGGGCAAACCUCCUAUGGGAGCUCCUGGAUCCCCCAGACUGUCCUGGCUCAGUCAUGGGCCAUGCCCUCCUCCCAGUGGCUGCCUUCAGCCCCACACAGCACCUGCCAGCAGUCGUUCAGCAUUAUCAAGAGGGCAGGUCCCCGAUUCAUAUCCACCCACCUUCACCACCUCCGUGCCGCCAUCCUGGCCUGGCCACUGUCAUGUCUGGCCAGGGCACCAGGGAGGCCUCCUAAGGGAUCUCCUUCUUCCUUCUCCAGUCCACACAGCAGCCGGAGGGAUCUUUUGACACUUUUACCACAAAAUUCAGAUGGCGCCACCCCCUGCCUGCAGCAGUGUGCCGCUCCCCACUGCCCCUGGGUAACCACAGCAUGGUUUCUGCCGGCCCCUCACCCUUGCCCAAAUCCUUAUAACAUCGUCUGUCUUCCACAUCCUUAAACAUGCCAAGCAAACUCUCAGCUAGGGGCCUUUGCUCCUGCUAGUCUCUUUGCCCGGAAUGUGCCUUCUCAGCUGUUUUUGUGGCUGUCUCCGUACCCUCAGGUGUCCUUUUAAUCAUCACCUUCACAGAGAAACCUUCCCUGACCUCCCGCCCCCACCUCCACCAGGUGAGGCCCUCCAGCUGCUCUCUGUCAUUGCUCCCAGGUCACUUUCUCUACCGUGUUGUUUAAAUCACAGGCAUCUAACCACUAGACAUUCACUCCUUCAUGGUCUGUCCCGGAGCAGGCGGUGGUGGCAGGACGGGGCCCGGGCAGUGCUGAAGGUGUGGGAACCAGUCCACCACAGCUGGCAGUGCAGUGUGGUGCUCGAGAGCGAGAACUCUGGAGCUGCACAGCCCAGGAUGAAUCCCACACAAAUCUCUCAGAAGCUGUGCCCUUGUUCCUGAACAGGGCCUUAGUUUCAUUUCCUCAUCUGCACAAUGAGAUAACAGCAUCAUCUACCAUACUGGAAUUCCGCUGGUGGGGGAUAAAGGCCUUACUCGUGCUGCCACUUGUUAGAGAAGGAAUGUAGACUCCGGACGCCUCUGCCACCCUAUGCCCUGGCCAGGGAAAACAAUGGGACAAGGAGGACCCGAAGCCAGCUGAGGGCCACGUGCUGCCCGGUGUUCCUCUCCCAGUGCGGUCCUGCUAAAAGGGACCUGGCCACCUGGGAAGGGUGAUGAUAUUUUCUCACUGGGCCUACCAAAGGAAAAAGAUGCCUCCUGCACUGCAGGCGUCUUAAAGGUUCUUUUUCAAAAUGAGAUUUGG
Molecule: long non-coding RNA, 6366 nt
Organism: Macaca fascicularis (crab-eating macaque)
Lineage: Eukaryota; Metazoa; Chordata; Mammalia; Primates; Cercopithecidae
Source: Ensembl